CCUGCAUUCUCGGACAGUGCCACGUCCUCCGGCUGCCAGCGGGGCAGCGCCGCUAGGAGUGAAGGCAAUUUUGAAGGCAUGACUACGACCUGCUCUGGCCACAAGAGCUAAGAGUUGCCAGGUGCUGUCAUUCAGAGUCCACAGGAUGGAUGAAUGGAUAUGAAAAUGAACAAACGUGUGACACAACACUGCAUGAUUUACCGGCAAUGACUUUCUGAUCAAGCCUGAACAUCCCAAGACAACCAUGCUGUGAAGAAGUCGGUCUACCCCACUGGAGAAGGAAAGGCUGUUCAGGGAAGUGAAGAUGCCCCAGCUGACAGUCACCACCUGCCAGACAUAAAAGAUGGAAAUUCAUUUCUGCUAAAGAGAAAGAAAAAAUUGGAAGACAGGGUGAAGGUGAACAGGCCCAUUAUAAGAAAGAAACAAAAAUCUAUAUUCUGUCUACAAGGAAACGAGAGAGAGAAAGAGAGAGAAGAAAGAAGUUCCAGGAUUCUAAUGUACCAAAGGGAUCUCCUUUUUCUUGUUUUGUUCUGAAAAUUUCACCAAAAGAGCACAGGAGAACAUCUUGGCUAAUUCAUUGGCGAUGAUGUAAGAAAACUGAGAGAAAUGAAAGAAAUGAAGAAUUACUGCUGCAGAUAAUAUACAGCCUUGAGGAAAGAAAGGCUUUUAAGAUUAUAGAUAUAAAGGCUAUUGCUGUAUUCUGGGAUAAAAGAAAGUCUGAUGCAGGGAAAGGGGAAGUUGGAAAAACUGGAAAAAGAAAAAAGAAGAAAAGAAAAAAAGGACUGGAAAGACAUUGGUGAAUAGAAAGAUGAAAAGGGUGAAGAAAAAAAUGAUGAUGGUCAAUAGGGUGGUUUUAAAAGAGGCUUUUGUUUUAUUAAUUUGUUUUUGUGUGAGUGUGUGUGUAUGUGUUUGUUUUUUGCCUAAAAGUAUUUAACUCCGCAUUACACCACUGAUUUCAAAGAAAAAAAGCUGAAAUGUAAGAUCAUAUGAUUUGUUUUUAAACUGAACACUGUAUACUGUCUUUUUAUUUUUGCAAAAUUAAUGUAGUAUCCAGUGUGUCUUUAGAUAACCCUGUCCUUAAUGAUAUUUUCAAUAGCCACUAACCUUGCCUGGUACUGUUUCGGGGUUUAAACUAGAACAGAAAUUUAAGGCAGGCUUUAUUAGUGCAUAGUACAAAUCAAUUACAUAUAUAUGGAGAUAUUAUUUUUCCCUCUUCAAUUGUUUUUCAUGCAGCUUACCCAAUAUAAUUGUUCUGUUAGUUGUACACUACUCUGUGAUAGCAAAUAAUAAUAAUAAAAUAAUUAUGAUGAUAUUGCCCCUGUUUUGGUGAUAUUCUGAAUGUUUAUACGUAAAUGCAAAAUUUUUAAUUAAAAGUAAUUAGAGGCUGGGCAUGGUGGCUCACACCUGUAAUCCCAGUUUUUUGGGUGGUUGAGGCAGGUGGAUCACUUGAGGUCAGGAGCUCAAGACCAGCCUGGCCAACAUGGCGAAACCCCAUCUCUACCAAAACUACAAAAAUUAGCCAGGCGUGGUGGCAAGCGCAUGUAAUCCCAGCUACUCGGGAGGCUGAGGCAGGAGAAUUGCUUGAACCUGGGAGGC
Molecule: long non-coding RNA, 1596 nt
Filed under: Homo sapiens (human)
Lineage: Eukaryota; Metazoa; Chordata; Mammalia; Primates; Hominidae
Description: HSALNT0295575
Source: RNAcentral